AGUGAACGCUGGCGGUAGGCCUAACACAUGCAAGUCGAACGGCAGCACAGUAAGAGCUUGCUCUUACGGGUGGCGAGUGGCGGACGGGUGAGGAAUACACCGGAAUCUACUUUUUCGUGGGGGAUAACGUAGGGAAACUUACGCUAAUACCGCAUACGACCUACGGGUGAAAGCAGGGGAUCUUCGGACCUUGCGCGAUUGAAUGAGCCGAUGUCGGAUUAGCUAGUUGGCGGGGUAAAGGCCCACCAAGGCGACGAUCCGUAGCUGGUCUGAGAGGAUGAUCAGCCACACUGGAACUGAGACACGGUCCAGACUCCUACGGGAGGCAGCAGUGGGGAAUAUUGGACAAUGGGCGCAAGCCUGAUCCAGCCAUACCGCGUGGGUGAAGAAGGCCUUCGGGUUGUAAAGCCCUUUUGUUGGGAAAGAAAAGCAGCAGGUUAAUACCCCGCUGUUCUGGCGGUACCCAAAGAAUAAGCACCGGCUAACUUCGUG
RNAcentral lists this ribosomal RNA (492 nucleotides) under uncultured bacterium. RNAcentral describes it as "partial 16S ribosomal RNA". It matches the Rfam family "Bacterial small subunit ribosomal RNA", at positions 29 to 507 of the family's 1533-position model. The record is from RNAcentral.